RNAcentral lists this ribosomal RNA (633 nucleotides) under uncultured Lachnospiraceae bacterium. RNAcentral describes it as "bacterial SSU rRNA". It matches the Rfam family "Bacterial small subunit ribosomal RNA", at positions 73 to 721 of the family's 1533-position model. The record is from RNAcentral. Lineage: Bacteria; Bacillati; Bacillota; Clostridia; Lachnospirales; Lachnospiraceae.
AGAGAGCUUGCUUUCUCGAGCGAGUGGCGAACGGGUGAGUAACGCGUGAGGAACCUGCCUCAAAGAGGGGGACAACAGUUGGAAACGACUGCUAAUACCGCAUAAGCCCACGGGUCGGCAUCGACCAGAGGGAAAAGGAGCAAUCCGCUUUGAGAUGGCCUCGCGUCCGAUUAGCUAGUUGGUGAGGUAAUGGCCCACCAAGGCAACGAUCGGUAGCCGGACUGAGAGGUUGAACGGCCACAUUGGGACUGAGACACGGCCCAGACUCCUACGGGAGGCAGCAGUGGGGAAUAUUGCACAAUGGGGGAAACCCUGAUGCAGCGACGCCGCGUGGAGGAAGAAGGUCUUCGGAUUGUAAACUCCUGUUGUUGGGGAAGAUAAUGACGGUACCCAACAAGGAAGUGACGGCUAACUACGUGCCAGCAGCCGCGGUAAAACGUAGGUCACAAGCGUUGUCCGGAAUUACUGGGUGUAAAGGGAGCGCAGGCGGGAAGACAAGUUGGAAGUGAAAUCUAUGGGCUCAACCCAUAAACUGCUUUCAAAACUGUUUUUCUUGAGUAGUGCAGAGGUAGGCGGAAUUCCCGGUGUAGCGGUGGAAUGCGUAGAUAUCGGGAGGAACACCAGUGGCGAAGG